GAUAUUCAGAUAUCUGAGUUUAAGGAUUAAAAGGAAAAUACAUACACAAGAACACUGAUUAAGUUGCAGAUCAUGGGUGGUCACCACUAUGGGUCUAUGGCAGCAGGUAUACUACUGCAAAGGGUGCACCCUUACCUGCUACAUUCAGCUAGGUAUGUGUGUGUGUAAUAUAUAUGAAAAGAUCUAAAAUAUAUAUAUUGUUAUAAAAUAUUCUAU
Molecule: long non-coding RNA, 216 nt
Filed under: Nicotiana benthamiana
Lineage: Eukaryota; Viridiplantae; Streptophyta; Magnoliopsida; Solanales; Solanaceae
Description: long non-coding RNA (NBEN_LNC029708)
Source: RNAcentral